CCUACGGGGGGCAGCAGUGGGGAAUUUUGGACAAUGGACGCAAGUCUGAUCCAGCCAUUCCGCGUGCAGGACGAAGGCCUUCGGGUUGUAAACUGCUUUUGUACGGAACGAAAAAGCUCUUAUUAAUACUAGGAGUCCAUGACGGUACCGUAAGAAUAAGCACCGGCUAACUACGUGCCAGCAGCCGCGGUAAUACGUAGGGUGCAAGCGUUAAUCGGAAUUACUGGGCGUAAAGCGUGCGCAGGCGGUUAUAUAAGACAGAUGUGAAAUCCCCGAGCUU
This 280-nucleotide ribosomal RNA is filed under the name uncultured Pseudomonadota bacterium. RNAcentral's name for it is "uncultured proteobacterium partial 16S ribosomal RNA". It matches the Rfam family "Bacterial small subunit ribosomal RNA", at positions 338 to 610 of the family's 1533-position model. Lineage: Bacteria; Pseudomonadati; Pseudomonadota. The record is from RNAcentral.